This 692-nucleotide ribosomal RNA is filed under the name uncultured bacterium. Its description in RNAcentral is "bacterial SSU rRNA". It matches the Rfam family "Bacterial small subunit ribosomal RNA", at positions 1 to 694 of the family's 1533-position model. The record is from RNAcentral.
AAUUCGAUUAGUUUGAUCCUGGCUCAGAAUGAACGCUGGCGGCGUGCUUUACACAUGCAAGUCGAGCGAGGCGUGUAGCAAUACACAGUCGAGCGGCGAACGGGUGAGUAACGCGUGGAUAACCUACCCAGAGGUGGGGGAUAACCCGGGGAAACUCGGGCUAAUACCGCAUAGGACCGUGAGGUCAAAGGCGGCUCGCAAGGGCUGUCGCCAUUGGAGGGGUCCGCGUACGAUUAGCUAGUUGGUAGGGUAAUGGCCUACCAAGGCGACGAUCGUUAGCCGGCCUGAGAGGGUGAUCGGCCACACUGGAACUGAGACACGGUCCAGACUCCUACGGGAGGCAGCAGUGGGGAAUUUUGCGCAAUGGGCUAACGCCUGACGCAGCAACGCCGCGUGGAGGAUGAAGGUCUUUGGAUUGUAAACUCCUGUCAGCAGGGAAAAAGCAACUUGGCCUAAUACGCCAGGGAGUUGAUUGUACCUGCAGAGGAAGCCCCGGCUAACUCUGUGCCAGCAGCCGCGGUAAUACAGAGGGGGCAAGCGUUAUUCGGAAUUAUUGGGCGUAAAGGGCGCGUAGGCGGCCUGGCAGUGGAAGGUGAAAUCCCUCGGCUUAACCGAGGAACUGCCUCCCAACUGCUUGGCUUGAGACCAGGAGAGGUGAGUGGAGUUCCCAGUGUAGCGGUGAAAUGCGUAGA